UGGCUCAGAGCGAACGUUAGCGGCAGGCUUAACACAUGCAAGUCGAGCGAGAAAGGGGCUUCGGCUCCGAGUAAAGCGGCGGACGGGUGCGUAACACGUGGAUAAUCUGCCUCGUGGCGGGGGACAACAGUCCGAAAGGACUGCUAAUACCGCAUGUCAGGUCGGAAACUCCGGUUUCUGACGAAAAAGAGGGCGUCCGCAAGGAGCUCUCACCACGAGAUGAGUCCGCGUCCCAUCAGCUAGUUGGCGGUGUAAUGGACCACCAAGGCUUAGACGGGUAGCUGGUCUGAGAGGAUGACCAGCCACACUGGGACUGAGACACGGCCCAGACUCCUACGGGAGGCAGCAGUGGGGAAUAUUGGACAAUGGGCGAAAGCCUGAUCCAGCCAUGCCGCGUGAGUGAUGAAGGCC
Molecule: ribosomal RNA, 411 nt
Filed under: uncultured bacterium
Lineage: Bacteria
Description: bacterial SSU rRNA
Rfam family: Bacterial small subunit ribosomal RNA
Source: RNAcentral